This 582-nucleotide ribosomal RNA is filed under the name uncultured glaucocystophycean. RNAcentral describes it as "bacterial SSU rRNA". It matches the Rfam family "Bacterial small subunit ribosomal RNA", at positions 1 to 637 of the family's 1533-position model. Lineage: Eukaryota; Glaucocystophyceae. The record is from RNAcentral.
UGAGUUUGAUUCUGGCUCAGGAUGAACGCUGGCGGCGUGCUUAACACAUGCAAGUCGAACGAACCUUCGGGUUAGUGGCGGAUGGGUGAGUAACGCGUGAGAAUCUGCCCUCAGGAGGGGGAUAACGGUUGGAAACGACCGCUAAUACCCCAUAUGCCUACUGGUGAAAUGAAUUUCGCCUGAGGAUGAGCUCGCGUCUGAUUAGCUAGUUGGUGAGGUAAUAGCUCACCAAGGCUUCGAUCAGUAGCUGGUCUGAGAGGAUGAUCAGCCACACUGGGACUGAGACACGGCCCAGACUCCUACGGGAGGCAGCAGUGGGGAAUUUUCCGCAAUGGGCGAAAGCCUGACGGAGCAACGCCGCGUGAGGGACGAAGGCCUCUGGGCUGUAAACCUCUUUUCUCAAGGAAGAAGAUAUGACGGUACUUGAGGAAUAAGCCACGGCUAAUUCCGUGCCAGCAGCCGCGGUAAUACGGGAGUGGCAAGCGUUAUCCGGAAUUAUUGGGCGUAAAGCGUCCGCAGGCGGCUUUUCAAGUCUGCUGUUAAAGCGUGGAGCUUAACUCCAUCAUGGCAGUGGAAACUGAG